Molecule: unclassified non-coding RNA, 211 nt
Filed under: Hevea brasiliensis (rubber tree)
Lineage: Eukaryota; Viridiplantae; Streptophyta; Magnoliopsida; Malpighiales; Euphorbiaceae
Source: RNAcentral
CUGAGGACUUAAAUGGUGAUGGAUAGAAUAAGAAAAGAAAGAUGAGAUGAAGCUUGGAUCGCCUCAGCAGUUAUGAGGGCAACCACAGCCUUGUGAAUGGCUAGAUCUGCCCUAUAAAGCAAUCUCUGAGCCUUUUCUCUCUUGAGUUUAGCCAUAUUAAGUACACGCUGUGCUGCACCAGAAGAAUCACGCAACCUUAACUCACCAAAAU